Molecule: transfer RNA, 57 nt
Filed under: Ovis aries (sheep)
Lineage: Eukaryota; Metazoa; Chordata; Mammalia; Artiodactyla; Bovidae
Rfam family: tRNA
About the family: Transfer RNA (tRNA) molecules are approximately 80 nucleotides in length.
Source: Rfam by way of RNAcentral
UGGCUCAGAUGGUAAAGCAUCUGCCUGCAAUGCAGGAGAUCUAGGUUUGAUCCCUGG